This 483-nucleotide long non-coding RNA is filed under the name Drosophila guanche. The record is from RNAcentral. Lineage: Eukaryota; Metazoa; Arthropoda; Insecta; Diptera; Drosophilidae.
GCUGCUCACUCUGCACACCUUCCACGUCUCCAUAUGGCGAUUCCAUUUGUAUUUGUCAGGCAUAAUUCAAAUCCACUUCGCAGGUACGAAAUGUAUUUUCGUACCCGCACCGAUCGCAACACGGGAGAUGGAGAGGGGACUAGAGGCGGUGUCGUCUGCUGUCGCCGCUUCCACAUUUUAUUGCAAAUUAAUAAUGCACACGAGGCUGAGGCGUCAUGUUGUUGCUGCUGCUGCUGGUUCGGGGCAUGUCAAUUGUGUCUAGAGGAGAACUGGCCACAGCUCCUGCCUCGGAUGUGGUUGUGGAUGGGGCACUCGCACGAUGAUGAUUUCCAACCAGCAAAAGUUUUGAUUAACUAACUGCUGGGGGCAGCCAAUUAAUUUGGCCAAGAGGCGCGAUCGCGAGUACAAAACUGCGGAGAUUUCUCUUUUCUCUGGCGCUGUCUCCUCAUUAAUUAAAGAACAUGGAAUCGGGCGACAAACUGC